This 305-nucleotide ribosomal RNA is filed under the name uncultured bacterium. RNAcentral describes it as "bacterial SSU rRNA". It matches the Rfam family "Bacterial small subunit ribosomal RNA", at positions 335 to 637 of the family's 1533-position model. The record is from RNAcentral.
UUCCCUACGGGGCGCAGCAGUGAGGAAUAUUGGUCAAUGGUCGGGAGACUGAACCAGCCAAGCCGCGUGAGGGAUGAAGGUACAGAGUAUCGUAAACCUCUUUUGUCAGGGAACAAAGGCGGGGACGUGUCCCCGGAUGAGUGUACCUGAAGAAAAAGCAUCGGCUAACUACGUGCCAGCAGCCGCGGGAAUACGUAGGUGGCAAGCGUUAUCCGGAAUUAUUGGGCGUAAAGAGCGCGCAGGUGGUUAAUUAAGUCUGAUGUGAAAGCCCACGGCUUAACCGUGGAGGGUCAUUGGAAACUGGU